Small nucleolar RNA from Prosopis cineraria, 85 nucleotides. The record is from RefSeq and is a predicted model, not a curated record. Lineage: Eukaryota; Viridiplantae; Streptophyta; Magnoliopsida; Fabales; Fabaceae.
AAGCCGAUGAGGAUGAACUUACAUUUGGAAUUACCGUCUGAACAAAUCACCUUGAUGUGAAUUUUCUGGCUGACUGAGGCUUCAC